This 257-nucleotide long non-coding RNA is filed under the name Pan troglodytes (chimpanzee). RNAcentral describes it as "long non-coding RNA NONPTRT009185". Lineage: Eukaryota; Metazoa; Chordata; Mammalia; Primates; Hominidae. The record is from RNAcentral.
ACAGGCCUCAGUGUGUGUUGUUCCCCACACUGUGUCCAUGCGUUCUCAUCAUUCAGCUCCUACCUAUAAGUGAAAACACGUGGUGUUUGGUUUUCUGUUCCUGCAUCAGUUUACUGAGGAUAAUGACUUCCAACUCCAUCAAUAAAAUACAUAAGAUUAAAGAAUAAAUGAGUUACCAUGAGAUAUUGGUAUUUAAUUAUCUGAAAAGUUGUGAUAUUGUUAUAUGUGUAAUUUUUAAUUAAUGUAUUAAAUGACUA